CCAGGUACAAAUGGGGAUCCCCCUAACAGGGUGGAAUUUAUAUAGAUUUGAAUUAAUUACAUCCCGUUAGGGGGAUCCCCAGGUACCUAGG
This 91-nucleotide microRNA precursor is filed under the name macacine gammaherpesvirus 12. Its description in RNAcentral is "miRc-N4". The record is from RNAcentral. Lineage: Duplodnaviria; Heunggongvirae; Peploviricota; Herviviricetes; Herpesvirales; Orthoherpesviridae.